CAUCCAAUGAACAUGAGACAAUCUUCUAGUUUAUUUAGUCUCGCUUUAAUUUUCUUUUGAGGAAAUGGUUCAAGAAUUUAAUGAAAAUUGUUUUAACAGCUCAUCUUGCAAUCAUGAUCCAGCUUUCUGUUCUCACAUCCUAAUGUUGGAGUGAGUGCCAAAUCUGAAAGGUUUCCUCGUCCCUUGGGUCACUGUAGGACGAGACCUAAUCAGGGGUUUACUCUAAAGUCAAGCACGAUCUUAAGAUAUGAUACCAAUCCCUCUUAAGAGUUUCACACCACAGGUCAUUUCCUCCUGCCGAUCACACCAAAAUAAAAUCUUCAUGGGGAGUCGCCAUGUCUUUGUGUUGACCCCCCAAUCCCCCUGACACACACAUCCAUCCAUCUGCGUAACAGAGGAAUAACUCAUAGACUCCCCUGUUUGUGAGGAAUUUGCUCGGCUGCAGAUUAGAUUUUCAGGAAUCUGCAAUAUGAGUGACACUUUAGACAGCUGUGUUAAACAGUAAGGCACAGUGUAUGUGAUCAGCUUGCUUUGUAAAGCCACCGCUUGCUUAUUGCAUUUCCCCUGAGCCUCAGGGGAAUAUUAAUCAAAUAUUCAUACGUCCCCUGUAAAUACUUGGAGAACACAGUCAGCCCUCAGACCGCUGUGCUCUGCGACACAAAUGCUCUUUCAUGUCUGUGAAAAAAAAAAAAAAAUCCCAAAUGUCCCAUCAUCCCUCCUGCCCAUUCAACCCUUCCUCUUCACCGUACAAAGAUCUUUUUGCUCUUGCAUAUUUGAUGUUCCUGCUCUGUCCAAACAGUCAGUUGCCCAGCCACUAAAAAAAAAAAAAGAAACUUGCCACACAGAUCAGACAGUGGAUCUAAAUGAUGCCUUUAUGCACUUUGCCAUUGCUUCAGCAUGGCAGAGAACAGAUGGAUUCUUCUUUCUGUCCCUCCAUCCUAACCCUUGCCCUGUCUCCAACACAGAAGGGACAGUUUCCUCCUUAAAAAGCAUGCCUCAUCAUGAUACAAGAAUUUGUAUUGUACAGGAAAACAGUCCGGCAUAGCUCAAACUAAAGGGGCAACAGACAGAUUAUCCAUGGUAACAGAGCUUUGCACACAAGGAUAUUUUCUUUUCCUCCGCAGAGGAACACAAUUGCUGCCAGUGUCACUGGGUCACAUUUUUUCCGGUUCCUGGUUAAUGGGCUGUAGAGAUGGUUAGCACGUACGAUUAGUUUUAAUCUACUACAUUUGACUGGGAGAGAAAGGAACUGAAUACAUUUCAACACACCACUGAGGUUUGCAUGUAGCACUGAUUUUUUUUUUCUUUUUGUCCUAGGAUGGCUCAGGAUUCUUAAAGUGAACAAAAA
Astatotilapia calliptera (eastern happy) is the source of this 1348-nucleotide long non-coding RNA. NCBI's taxonomy places the organism in Eukaryota, Metazoa, Chordata, Actinopteri, Cichliformes, Cichlidae. The record is from Ensembl.